Molecule: ribosomal RNA, 871 nt
Filed under: Dermea pruni
Lineage: Eukaryota; Fungi; Ascomycota; Leotiomycetes; Helotiales; Dermateaceae
Description: partial large subunit ribosomal RNA
Rfam family: Eukaryotic large subunit ribosomal RNA
Source: RNAcentral
CCUCAGUAACGGCGAGUGAAGCGGUAACAGCUCAAAUUUGAAAUCUGGGCCCCUCGGGCCCCGAGUUGUAAUUUGGAGAAGAUGCUUCGGGUGCGGCGCCGGUCUAAGUUCCUUGGAACAGGACGUCACAGAGGGUGAGAAUCCCGUACGUGAUCGGCCGCCUGCGCCCGUGUGAAGCUCUUUCGACGAGUCGAGUUGUUUGGGAAUGCAGCUCAAAAUGGGUGGUAUAUUUCAUCUAAAGCUAAAUAUUGGCCAGAGACCGAUAGCGCACAAGUAGAGUGAUCGAAAGAUGAAAAGCACUUUGGAAAGAGAGUUAAACAGUACGUGAAAUUGUUGAAAGGGAAGCGCUUGCGACCAGACUUGCGCGUGGCCGAUCAUCCGGGGUUCUCCCCGGUGCACUCGGCCUCGCUCAGGCCAGCAUCGGUUCCGGUGGCUGGAUAAAGGCCUUGGGAAUGUAGCUCCUCUCGGGGAGUGUUAUAGCCCUCGGCGCAAUGCAGCCUACCGGGACCGAGGACCGCGCUUCGGCUAGGAUGCUGGCGUAAUGGUCGUAAGCGACCCGUCUUGAAACACGGACCAAGGAGUCUAACAUCUAUGCGAGUGUUUGGGUGCCAAACCCAUCCGCGUAAUUAACGUGAACGGAGGUGAGAGCCCUGAAGGGUGCAUCACCGACCGGUCCUGAUGUCUUCGGAUGGAUCUGAGUAAGAGCAUAGCUGUUGGGACCCGAAAGAUGGUGAACUAUGCCUGAAUAGGGUGAAGCCAGAGGAAACUCUGGUGGAGGCUCGCAGCGGUUCUGACGUGCAAAUCGAUCGUCAAAUUUGGGUAUAGGGGCGAAAGACUAAUCGAACCAUUGGGCCCUACUAGGUGGUUAAGA